UUAAGCGACUAAGCGUACACGGUGGAUGCCCUGGCAGUCAGAGGCGAUGAAGGACGUGCUAAUCUGCGAUAAGCGUCGGUGAGGUGAUAUGAACCGUUAUAACCGGCGAUUUCCGAAUGGGGGAAACCCAGUGUGUUUCGACACACUAUCAUUAACUGAAUCCAUAGGUUAAUGAGGCGAACCGGGGGAACUGAAACAUCUAAGUACCCCGAGGAAAAGAAAUCAACCGAGAUUCCCCCCAGUAGCGGCGAGCGAACGGGGAGGAGCCCAGAGCCUGAAUCAGUGUGGUGUGGUUAGUGGAAGCGUCUGGGAAAGGCGUGCGAUACAGGGUGACAGCCCCGUACACAAAAAUGCACAUAUGUGAGCUCGAUGAGUAGGGCGGGACACGUGGUAUCCUGUCUGAAUAUGGGGGGACCAUCCUCCAAGGCUAAAUACUCCUGACUGACCGAUAGUGAACCAGUACCGUGAGGGAAAGGCGAAAAGAACCCCGGCGAGGGGAGUGAAAAAGAACCUGAAACCGUGUACGUACAAGCAGUGGGAGCCUCUUAAUGGGGUGACUGCGUACCUUUUGUAUAAUGGGUCAGCGACUUAUAUUCUGUAGCAAGGUUAACCGAAUAGGGGAGCCGAAGGGAAACCGAGUCUUAACUGGGCGUUAAGUUGCAGGGUAUAGACCCGAAACCCGGUGAUCUAGCCAUGGGCAGGUUGAAGGUUGGGUAACACUAACUGGAGGACCGAACCGACUAAUGUUGAAAAAUUAGCGGAUGACUUGUGGCUGGGGGUGAAAGGCCAAUCAAACCGGGGAGAUAGCUGGUUCUCCCCGAAAGCUAUUUAGGUAGCGCCUCGUGAAUUCAUCUCCGGGGGUAGAGCACUGUUUCGGCAAGGGGGUCAUCCCGACUUACCAACCCGAUGCAAACUGCGAAUACCGGAGAAUGUUAUCACGGGAGACACACGGCGGGUGCUAACGUCCGUCGUGAAGAGGGAAACAACCCAGACCGCCAGCUAAGGUCCCAAAGUCAUGGUUAAGUGGGAAACGAUGUGGGAAGGCCCAGACAGCCAGGAUGUUGGCUUAGAAGCAGCCAUCAUUUAAAGGAAAGCGUAAUAGCUCACUGGUCGAGUCGGCCUGCGCGGAAGAUGUAACGGGGCUAAACCAUGCACCGAAGCUGCGGCAGCGACACUAUGUGUUGUUGGGUAGGGGAGCGUUCUGUAAGCCUGUGAAGGUGGCCUGUGAGGGGUGCUGGAGGUAUCAGAAGUGCGAAUGCUGACAUAAGUAACGAUAAACGGGUGAAAAGCCCGCUCGCCGGAAGACCAAGGGUUCCUGUCCAACGUUAAUCGGGGCAGGGUGAGUCGACUCCUAAGGCGAGGCCGAAAGGCGUAGUCGAUGGGAAACAGGUUAAUAUUCCUGUACUUGGUGUUACUGCGAAGGGGGGACGGAGAAGGCUAUGUUGGCCGGGCGACGGUUGUCCCGGUUUAAGCGUGUAGGCUGGUUUUCCAGGCAAAUCCGGAAAACCAAGGCUGAGGCGUGAUGACGAGGCACUACGGUGCUGAAGUGACAAAUGCCCUGCUUCCAGGAAAAGCCUCUAAGCAUCAGGUAACAUCAAAUCGUACCCCAAACCGACACAGGUGGUCAGGUAGAGAAUACCAAGGCGCUUGAGAGAACUCGGGUGAAGGAACUAGGCAAAAUGGUGCCGUAACUUCGGGAGAAGGCACGCUGAUAUGUAGGUGAAGCGACUUGCUCGUGGAGCUGAAAUCAGUCGAAGAUACCAGCUGGCUGCAACUGUUUAUUAAAAACACAGCACUGUGCAAACACGAAAGUGGACGUAUACGGUGUGACGCCUGCCCGGUGCCGGAAGGUUAAUUGAUGGGGUUAGCGGUAACGCGAAGCUCUUGAUCGAAGCCCCGGUAAACGGCGGCCGUAACUAUAACGGUCCUAAGGUAGCGAAAUUCCUUGUCGGGUAAGUUCCGACCUGCACGAAUGGCGUAAUGAUGGCCAGGCUGUCUCCACCCGAGACUCAGUGAAAUUGAACUCGCUGUGAAGAUGCAGUGUACCCGCGGCAAGACGGAAAGACCCCGUGAACCUUUACUAUAGCUUGACACUGAACAUUGAGCCUUGAUGUGUAGGAUAGGUGG
RNAcentral lists this ribosomal RNA (2127 nucleotides) under Escherichia coli. RNAcentral's name for it is "bacterial LSU rRNA". It matches the Rfam family "Bacterial large subunit ribosomal RNA", at positions 1 to 2150 of the family's 2925-position model. Lineage: Bacteria; Pseudomonadati; Pseudomonadota; Gammaproteobacteria; Enterobacterales; Enterobacteriaceae. The record is from RNAcentral.